CGGAGCGCGGAAUACCGGCGAGAAAUCGCCGACAAGACCGCAUGAGCUACCUUUCGUCAAGGGAAGGCAGCAAAGGUUCUGGCUUCGACGAGAGCCGCUCGGGGAUGAGCCUGCGGCUGAUUAGCUAGCUGGUAAGGUAACGGCUUACCAGGGCGACGAUCAGUAGCUGGUCUGAGAGGACGAGCAGCCACACUGGGAUUGAGAACGGCCCAG
This 213-nucleotide ribosomal RNA is filed under the name uncultured bacterium. RNAcentral describes it as "partial 16S ribosomal RNA". It matches the Rfam family "Bacterial small subunit ribosomal RNA", at positions 132 to 334 of the family's 1533-position model. The record is from RNAcentral.